RNAcentral lists this ribosomal RNA (741 nucleotides) under uncultured bacterium. RNAcentral's name for it is "bacterial SSU rRNA". It matches the Rfam family "Bacterial small subunit ribosomal RNA", at positions 33 to 774 of the family's 1533-position model. The record is from RNAcentral.
ACGCUAGCGGGAGGCCUAACACAUGCAAGCCGAGCGGUAGAGAUUCUUCGGAAUCUUGAGAGCGGCGUACGGGUGCGGAACACGUGUGCAACCUACCUUUAUCAGGGGGAUAGCCUUUCGAAAGGAAGAUUAAUACCCCAUAAUAUAUUUGAUGGCAUCAUUAGAUAUUGAAAACUCCGGUGGAUAGAGAUGGGCACGCGCAAGAUUAGAUAGUUGGUGAGGUAACGGCUCACCAAGUCCAUGAUCUUUAGGGGGCCUGAGAGGGUGAUCCCCCACACUGGUACUGAGACACGGACCAGACUCCUACGGGAGGCAGCAGUGAGGAAUAUUGGACAAUGGGUGAGAGCCUGAUCCAGCCAUCCCGCGUGAAGGACGACGGCCCUAUGGGUUGUAAACUUCUUUUGUAUAGGGAUAAACCUUUCCACGUGUGGAAAGCUGAAGGUACUAUACGAAUAAGCACCGGCUAACUCCGUGCCAGCAGCCGCGGUAAUACGGAGGGUGCAAGCGUUAUCCGGAUUUAUUGGGUUUAAAGGGUCCGUAGGCGGACUCGUAAGUCAGUGGUGAAAUCUCAUAGCUUAACUAUGAAACUGCCAUUGAUACUGCGGGUCUUGAGUAAGGUAGAGGUAGCUGGAAUAAGUAGUGUAGCGGUGAAAUGCAUAGAUAUUACUUAGAACACCAAUUGCGAAGGCAGGUUACCAUGUCUUAACUGACGCUGAUGGACGAAAGCGUGGGGAGCGAAAC